UAUCUCUGUAGAGUCUGCAUAUCAAUAAGCGGAGGAAAAGAAACUAACUAGGAUUCCCUCAGUAACGGCGAGUGAAGCGGGAAGAGCUCAAAUUUGAAAUCUUCAAGGUUUUACCUUGACGAAUUGUAGUUUAAAGAAGCGUUUUCUGUUGGAGUUUUGGUAAAAGUUCUUUGGAAUAGGACAUCAUAGAGGGUGAGAAUCCCGUAUUUGACCAUGACUUUCCAGCUGUGUGAUACACUUUCAAAGAGUCGGAUUGUUUGGGAAUGCAGUCCAAAAUGGGUGGUAAAUUUCAUCUAAAGCUAAGUAUUGGCGAGAGACCGAUAGCGAACAAGUACCGUGAGGGAAAGAUGAAAAGAACUUUGAAAAGAGAGUUAAACAGUACGUGAAAUUGUCAAAAGUGAAGCGUUUGACACCAGUGUUGUUUUCUCGAAAAUCAAUUUAAUGGGUUCUUGUUUUUAAGUUAUUGUGACUUUAUCAGCGCAUUUCUUAUUUUACUUGGCUCAUUGAAUGCACUUUUCGUUUAACAAGUCAACAUCAAUUUCUUUGGUGGUAAAAAGUUUAAAGGAAGGUGGCUUGGACUUCGGUUCAAGUGUUUAUAGCCUUUUUUCUAUGCCAUCGGAGAGAUUGAGGUCUGCAGCGUAGAUCCUUCGGGGUUAGAUACUUUAGUGCUAAGUUAUAGUUUUUUAUAGACAACUUGUUGACUAUAAUUAACCCUGUAAUUUACUCGCUAGAGCUAUUUUACCUACGCUUAGGAUGUUGAGUCAUCACACAUCUCU
RNAcentral lists this ribosomal RNA (776 nucleotides) under uncultured Neocallimastigales. Its description in RNAcentral is "partial large subunit ribosomal RNA". It matches the Rfam family "Eukaryotic large subunit ribosomal RNA", at positions 24 to 614 of the family's 3401-position model. The record is from RNAcentral. Lineage: Eukaryota; Fungi; Neocallimastigomycota; Neocallimastigomycetes; Neocallimastigales.